RNAcentral lists this ribosomal RNA (460 nucleotides) under uncultured bacterium. RNAcentral describes it as "bacterial SSU rRNA". It matches the Rfam family "Bacterial small subunit ribosomal RNA", at positions 34 to 507 of the family's 1533-position model. The record is from RNAcentral.
CGCUGGCGGCGUGCCUAACACAUGCAAGUCGAACGGACGAGAGGGAGCUUGCUCCCUCAAGUUAGUGGCGGACGGGUGAGUAACGCGUGAGUAACCUGCCUUUCAGAGGGGAAUAACAUUCUGAAAAGAAUGCUAAUACCGCAUAACAUCGUAGUAUCGCAUGGUACAGCGAUCAAAGGAGCAAUCCGCUGAAAGAUGGACUCGCGUCCGAUUAGCUAGUUGGCGGGAUAAAAGGCCCACCAAGGCGACGAUCGGUAGCCGGACUGAGAGGUUGAUCGGCCACAUUGGGACUGAGACACGGCCCAGACUCCUACGGGAGGCAGCAGUGGGGGAUAUUGCACAAUGGGGAAACCCUGAUGCAGCAACGCCGCGUGAAGGAAGAAGGUCUUCGGAUUGUAAACUUCUGUCCUCAGGGAAGAUAAUGACGGUACCUGAGGAGGAAGCUCCGGCUAACUACGUG